AUCAGCAUGCUGCGGUGAAUACGUUCCCGGGCCUUGUACACACCGCCCGUCACACCAUGAGAGUCGAUAACACCCGAAGCCUGUAGUCUAACCAUAAGGAGGACGCAGUCGAAGGUGGGAUUGAUAAUUAGGGUGAAGUCGUAACAAGGUAUC
RNAcentral lists this ribosomal RNA (153 nucleotides) under uncultured bacterium. RNAcentral's name for it is "partial 16S ribosomal RNA". It matches the Rfam family "Bacterial small subunit ribosomal RNA", at positions 1348 to 1500 of the family's 1533-position model. The record is from RNAcentral.